AUUGAACGCUGGCGGAAUGCUUUACACAUGCAAGUCGAACGGCAGCACGGGGGCAACCCUGGUUGCGAGUGGCGAACGGGUGAGUAAUACAUCGGAACGUGCCCGGUCGUGGGGGAUAACGUAGCGAAAGUUACGCUAAUACCGCAUACGAUCUGAGGAUGAAAGCGGGGGACCUUCGGGCCUCGCGCGAUCGGAGCGGCCGAUGUCAGAUUAGGUAGUUGGUGGGGUAAAGGCCUACCAAGCCGACGAUCUGUAGCUGGUCUGAGAGGACGACCAGCCACACUGGGACUGAGACACGGCCCAGACUCCUACGGGAGGCAGCAGUGGGGAAUUUUGGACAAUGGGCGCAAGCCUGAUCCAGCCAUUCCGCGUGCAGGACGAAGGCCUUCGGGUUGUAAACUGCUUUUGUAUGGAACGAAAAGGCUCUGGCUAAUACCUGGGGCUCAUGACGGUACCGUAAGAAUAAGCACCGGCUAACUACGUG
RNAcentral lists this ribosomal RNA (484 nucleotides) under uncultured bacterium. RNAcentral describes it as "partial 16S ribosomal RNA". It matches the Rfam family "Bacterial small subunit ribosomal RNA", at positions 30 to 507 of the family's 1533-position model. The record is from RNAcentral.